This is a non-coding RNA of Myotis davidii, 76 nucleotides long. The record is from Rfam. NCBI's taxonomy places the organism in Eukaryota, Metazoa, Chordata, Mammalia, Chiroptera, Vespertilionidae.
GAGACACCUUUAUGGAGCAGGACUUGUUUUAGUGGGGCUUUGGUGCUCACUAAGUCUGCCCCUUGAGUGUAUCACU